RNAcentral lists this transfer RNA (58 nucleotides) under Dipodomys ordii (Ord's kangaroo rat). It matches the Rfam family "tRNA", at positions 8 to 63 of the family's 71-position model. From Rfam's summary of the family: Transfer RNA (tRNA) molecules are approximately 80 nucleotides in length. The record is from Rfam by way of RNAcentral. Lineage: Eukaryota; Metazoa; Chordata; Mammalia; Rodentia; Heteromyidae.
UGGCUCAGUGGUAGAGCGCUUGCCUUGCAUGUAUGAGGCCCUGGGUUCGAUUUCUCAG